GCAGUCAUAGCUCAGCUGGGAGAGCGUCAGACUGAAGUUAACUUCAAUCACUUAAUCUGAAGGUCGUGUGUUCAAUCCACACUGACUGCA
This 90-nucleotide transfer RNA is filed under the name Colletotrichum graminicola M1.001. Its description in RNAcentral is "tRNA-Phe for anticodon GAA". It matches the Rfam family "tRNA". From Rfam's summary of the family: Transfer RNA (tRNA) molecules are approximately 80 nucleotides in length. The record is from Rfam by way of RNAcentral. Lineage: Eukaryota; Fungi; Ascomycota; Sordariomycetes; Glomerellales; Glomerellaceae.